This 2368-nucleotide long non-coding RNA is filed under the name Zostera marina. RNAcentral's name for it is "long non-coding RNA (ZMAR_LNC002811)". Lineage: Eukaryota; Viridiplantae; Streptophyta; Magnoliopsida; Alismatales; Zosteraceae. The record is from RNAcentral.
GACGGUAGUAAGAAGUUGGCCGGAGCUUCUCGAUGUGAACCUGAGGAAGGAUCUGCAUUGGGAGCACGAUGGGGAUCUGAGUUAUUAGGACGACAUCGGACAGAGCUGCAAGUGUAGUGGUCGGAGUUGCAGAGCUACAGGUUUGUAGAACGAUGUUGGCCGGGAUCUCUCGGCUAAGGACUGAUGAAGGCAGGGUCGUUGUUGGAUGGACGGAGUUGCAAGGAGAUGGGUUGGCGAAGAUUAGAGGUGGUGUAGUGGUGGAACGGGUGUACUCGACCGAUGGCCGGAGAUGGGUUGCGAGUGGAUGUUGCGGUCUUGCGGAGAUGGAUGCGGUGGUCUAGAGAUGAUGGCGGUGAAAUUUCUAGUAAAAAUAUUUCUUAUUAAUUUAAAGGAAGUUACAUGUUAUAUAUAUACUAAACAUAAGGCGGUUUGGAUAGAUUGGGAAAUUGCAAAAUUUAAGGCGGUUGGUGAUUUUAGAGAAUUUAGAAAAAUACCCCUUGGGUAGUUGGUAUUGGUGUUUUCCCCAUCCAUUGUUCGGAAUCACGUCUUGGGUCCGCUUAAGUCAUAAUCCUUUGUCCACCUGGGCACGACCUGAGCUCGCUUGUUGGUUCGUGUCAAUCCCGCUUCCCUCUCGUCCGUGCUCUCUUCCAUUAUCUCGUUGUUGGCUUCUAGCAUUCCUCCUGUGAACAUCGUAAUCUCCUCGUCUGUGAAAGUAGCUCCAGUCGGUUGUGUAUCAUCAUCCUCCCCUUCAAGAGCAACCUUGUCCUCAAGGUUGAUAGUCGGCCAUGUCUAUCGUAGACUCUCGGCGUUCUCCCAGGUAGAGUCUUCUGGCGAAGCACACCUCCCCAUUGGAUUAGUAAUUGCCUUUGAUUCUUGGCUCCCUGCAGAAUCGUGCGCGCGUCUAGCACGGCCAAUGGGUAUAAGAUUGGUUGGUUUUCUACUGAUAUCAAGGGUGAUUGUGGGCUGUUCGAUUCUAUGUUGCCCUUGAACCUCUUUAAACGGGAAAUGUGGAAUGUGGGGUGUAUCCGGCUACCCACAGGUAAUUCUAAUGUGUAUGCUGUACUACUGAUUUUUUUUUGCAAUUUUGUAUGGGCCAUAGAAUCUCUGGCUUAGCUUGAAAUUGUACCUGUGUGCAAGUGAUUGUUGCCUAUAAGGUUGUAAUUUGACUAGUACCCAAUCCCCUACAGAGAAUUCAGAUGCAAACCUGUGUUUGUCUGCUUGGUCUUUCUGGAAAUUAGCAGACAGAUUUCUGAAAUUUCAAAAAGACACAAAGAAAAGCCUCCGAGUGAUGUUGACAAAGGCGCUGUGGGAGCUAAUUACCCAAAGCCUCUACCGAAGCAUCCAUUCUAUCAGUCGAUAGUCGACCUUGACAACCCGAUCUAUGCUUCAUCUUUGCUUGAGGAUGAAAACUAUACACCUGCUAAAUAUCUGAAAGUGGACAUGCCAAGAUUUGACGGCACAGACGCAGAACAUUGGCUCUUUGCAGUCAGGAGGUAUUUUAUCUUUCAUAAAGUUCCUGAAGAUCAAAAACUGUUAAUCGUUUCUUUUCACUUGGAUGGGAUUGCUAGAAGUUGGUUCGUAUGGCUCGAGGCAAAUAAUUUAUUAUCUACAUGGAAAAAUUUGGUGACGCCGUGCUAAAAUAAUUCACAAAUCUCUCAUUGAGAGCACCAAUGAUACAACCCUAAUCACUUACAGGUUGAUCGACGGUCAUUCGGGGUUCGCCGGAGCGACAGAUCGGCGACACGAAGUUUGCCGGAGUUGCUGGACGGCAAUAAGAAGUUGGCCGGAGGUUCUCGAUAUGAACCAGAAGAGGAAGGAUCUGCAUUGGGAGCACGAUGGGGAUCUGAGUUAUUAGGACGACGCCGGACAGAGUUGCAGGUGUAAUGGUCGGAGUUGCAGGUGUAAUGGUCGGAAUUGCAGAGCUGCAGGUUUGUAAAACGAUGUUGACCGGGAUCUCUCGGCUAAGGACCGAUGAAGGCAGGGUCGUUGUUGGAUGGACGGAGUUGCAAGGAGAUGGGUUGGCGGAGAUUAGAGGUGGUGUAAUGGUGGAACGGGUGUACUCGACCGAUGGCCGGAGAUGGGUUGCGAGUGGAUGUUGCGGUCUUGCGGAGAUGGAUGCGAUAGUCUAGAGAUGAUGGCGGUGAAAUUUCUCGUAAAAAUAUUUCUUAUUAAUUUAAAGGAGGUUACAUGUUAUAUAUAUACUAAACAUAAGGUGGUUUGGAUAGAUUGGGAAAUCGCAAAAUUUAAGGCGGUUGGUGAUUUUAGAGAAUUUAGAAAAAUACCCCUUGGGUAGUUGGUAUUGGUGUUUUUCUCAUCCAUUGUUCGGAAUCACGCCUUGGGUCCGCUUAAGUCAUAAUCCUUUGUCCAC